Molecule: transfer RNA, 75 nt
Filed under: Marinobacter sp. LV10R510-11A
Lineage: Bacteria; Pseudomonadati; Pseudomonadota; Gammaproteobacteria; Pseudomonadales; Marinobacteraceae
Also listed under: 1 other name
Description: tRNA_Gly_GCC
Rfam family: tRNA
About the family: Transfer RNA (tRNA) molecules are approximately 80 nucleotides in length. Their secondary structure includes four short double-helical elements and three loops (D, anti-codon, and T loops).
Source: RNAcentral
GCGGGAAUAGCUCAGUGGUAGAGCACGACCUUGCCAAGGUCGGGGUCGCGAGUUCGAAUCUCGUUUCCCGCUCCA